UCCAUGGCACGCUGGUACAACAAAGUCGAAGAAGCGGGAUUCCGCUCCUUUAAUGUCAUCGCAGCCACCUUCUAUGAGCAUUAUGAUGAGAUACUCAACUUCUACAACAACCGUUCCUCAAAUGCACUUGCUGAAUCAUUCAAUGCUAAAAUCAAACUCUUUAGAGCGAAUCUCAGGGGAGUUGUUGACAAGAAGUUUUUCUUAUUCCGCAUUGCGAACUUAUAUGCAUAUCCCCAC
This 237-nucleotide ribosomal RNA is filed under the name Bacteroides fragilis str. 3996 N(B) 6. Its description in RNAcentral is "partial 16S ribosomal RNA". Lineage: Bacteria; Pseudomonadati; Bacteroidota; Bacteroidia; Bacteroidales; Bacteroidaceae. The record is from RNAcentral.